UACGAAGGGGGCUAGCGUUGCUCGGAAUGACUGGGCGUAAAGGGCGCGUAGGCGGCUUGCACCGUCAGAUGUGAAAUUCCUGGGCUUAACCUGGGGGCUGCAUUUGAUACGUGUGGGCUUGAGUGCGGAAGAGGGUCGUGGAAUUCCCAGUGUAGAGGUGAAAUUCGUAGAUAUCGGGAGGAACACCAGUGGCGAAGGCGGCGACCUGGGCCAAUACUGACGCUGAGGUGCGAAAGCGUGGGGAGCAAACAGG
RNAcentral lists this ribosomal RNA (253 nucleotides) under uncultured bacterium. Its description in RNAcentral is "partial 16S ribosomal RNA". It matches the Rfam family "Bacterial small subunit ribosomal RNA", at positions 524 to 776 of the family's 1533-position model. The record is from RNAcentral.